AGAGUUUGAUCCUGGCUCAGAUUGAACGCUGGCGGCAGGCCUAACACAUGCAAGUCGAACGGUAACAGGAAGCAGCUUGCUGCUUUGCUGACGAGUGGCGGACGGGUGAGUAAUGUCUGGGAAACUGCCUGAUGGAGGGGGAUAACUACUGGAAACGGUAGCUAAUACCGCAUAACGUCGCAAGACCAAAGAGGGGGACCUUCGGGCCUCUUGCCAUCGGAUGUGCCCAGAUGGGAUUAGCUUGUUGGUGGGGUAACGGCUCACCAAGGCGACGAUCCCUAGCUGGUCUGAGAGGAUGACCAGCCACACUGGAACUGAGACACGGUCCAGACUCCUACGGGAGGCAGCAGUGGGGAAUAUUGCACAAUGGGCGCAAGCCUGAUGCAGCCAUGCCGCGUGUAUGAAGAAGGCCUUCGGGUUGUAAAGUACUUUCAGCGGGGAGGA
Molecule: ribosomal RNA, 444 nt
Filed under: uncultured bacterium
Lineage: Bacteria
Description: bacterial SSU rRNA
Rfam family: Bacterial small subunit ribosomal RNA
Source: RNAcentral